RNAcentral lists this unclassified non-coding RNA (346 nucleotides) under soil metagenome. Its description in RNAcentral is "partial contains 5.8S ribosomal RNA, internal transcribed spacer 2, and large subunit ribosomal RNA". The stretch from base 2 to 119 matches the Rfam family "5.8S ribosomal RNA", at positions 37 to 154 of the family's 154-position model. The record is from RNAcentral.
GUGAAGAACGCAGUGAAAUGCGAUAAUUAAUGUGAAUUGCAGAAUUCAGUGAAUCAUCGAGUCUUUGAACGCACAUUGCGCCCCCUGGUAUUCCGGGGGGCAUGCCUGUCCGAGCGUCAUUGCUGCCCUCAAGCACGGCUUGUGUGUUGGGCUUCCGUCCCUGGCAACGGGGACGGGCCCAAAAGGCAGUGGCGGCACCAUGUCUGGUCCUCGAGCGUAUGGGGCUUUGUCACCCGCUCCCGUAGGUCCAGCUGGCAGCUAGCCUCGCAACCAAUCUUUUUAACCAGGUUGACCUCGGAUCAGGUAGGGAUACCCGCUGAACUUAAGCAUAUCAAUAAGCGGAGGA